Molecule: ribosomal RNA, 199 nt
Filed under: uncultured bacterium
Lineage: Bacteria
Description: partial 16S ribosomal RNA
Rfam family: Bacterial small subunit ribosomal RNA
Source: RNAcentral
ACGCUCGACACCUACGGGAGACAGCAGUCGGGAAUAUUGCGCAAUGGAGGAAACUCUGACGCAGUGACGCCGCGUAUAGGAAGAAGGUUUUCGGAUUGUAAACUAUUGUCGUUAGGGAAGAAAAAGGACAGUACCUAAGGAGGAAGCUCCGGCUAACUACGUGUCAGCAGCCGCGGUAAUCUGAGCGGGCUGGCAAGGC